Molecule: ribosomal RNA, 497 nt
Filed under: uncultured bacterium
Lineage: Bacteria
Description: partial 16S ribosomal RNA
Rfam family: Bacterial small subunit ribosomal RNA
Source: RNAcentral
GAUGAACGCUGGCGGCGUGCCUAAUACAUGCAAGUCGAGCGAACGGACGAGAAGCUUGCUUCUCUGAUGUUAGCGGCGGACGGGUGAGUAACACGUGGAUAACCUACCUAUAAGACUGGGAUAACUUCGGGAAACCGGAGCUAAUACCGGAUGAUAUUUUGAACCGCAUGGUUCAAAAGUGAAAGACGGUCUUGCUGUCACUUAUAGAUGGAUCCGCGCUGCAUUAGCUAGUUGGUAAGGUAACGGCUUACCAAGGCAACGAUGCAUAGCCGACCUGAGAGGGUGAUCGGCCACAAUGGAAAUGAGACACGGUCCAGACUCCUACGGGAGGCAGCAGUAGGGAAUCUUCCGCAAUGGGCGAAAGCCUGACGGAGCAACGCCGCGUGAGUGAUGAAGGUCUUCGGAUCGUAAAACUCUGUUAUUAGGGAAGAACAUAUGUGUAAGUAACUGUGCACAUCUUGACGGUACCUAAUCAGAAAGCCACGGCUAACUACGUG